This 478-nucleotide ribosomal RNA is filed under the name uncultured bacterium. RNAcentral's name for it is "partial 16S ribosomal RNA". It matches the Rfam family "Bacterial small subunit ribosomal RNA", at positions 28 to 507 of the family's 1533-position model. The record is from RNAcentral.
GAUGAACGCUGGCGGCGUGCUUAACACAUGCAAGUCGAACGGGAAACCUUUUAUUGAAGCUUCGGCAGAUUUAGCUGGUUUCUAGUGGCGGACGGGUGAGUAACGCGUGGGUAACCUGCCUUAUACAGGGGGAUAACAACCAGAAAUGGUUGCUAAUACCGCAUAAGCGCACAGGACCGCAUGGUCCGGUGUGAAAAACUCCGGUGGUAUAAGAUGGACCCGCGUUGGAUUAGCUAGUUGGCAGGGUAACGGCCUACCAAGGCGACGAUCCAUAGCCGGCCUGAGAGGGUGAACGGCCACAUUGGGACUGAGACACGGCCCAGACUCCUACGGGAGGCAGCAGUGGGGAAUAUUGCACAAUGGGGGAAACCCUAAUGCAGCGACGCCGCGUGAAGGAAGAAGUAUCUCGGUAUGUAAACUUCUAUCAGCAGGGAAGAUAGUGACGGUACCUGACUAAGAAGCCCCGGCUAACUACGUG